GCCAGGUGUUGUGGCGAACACCUGUAAUCCCAGCUACUGGGGAGGCUGAGGCAGAAGAAUCACUUGAACCCAGGAGGUGAAGGUUGCAGUGAGCUGAGAUCGUGCCACUGCACUCCAGCCUGGGCAACAGAGUGAGACUCCAUCUCAA
Molecule: unclassified non-coding RNA, 148 nt
Organism: Pongo abelii (Sumatran orangutan)
Lineage: Eukaryota; Metazoa; Chordata; Mammalia; Primates; Hominidae
Rfam family: Metazoan signal recognition particle RNA
About the family: The signal recognition particle (SRP) is a universally conserved ribonucleoprotein. It is involved in the co-translational targeting of proteins to membranes.
Source: Ensembl